Molecule: non-coding RNA, 143 nt
Organism: Gossypium hirsutum (cotton)
Lineage: Eukaryota; Viridiplantae; Streptophyta; Magnoliopsida; Malvales; Malvaceae
Source: Rfam
AAUAGUUUUAUGCCACAUCAGUACUCUUAUCCUGAAUUUUAGGAUUUUAUCCUGAAAAAAAUCAAAUCCAGGAUAAAAUCCUGAAAUUCAGGAUAAAAAUCCUGAAAUUCAGGAUAAAAAUACUGAUGUGGCAUAAAACUAUU